This 199-nucleotide long non-coding RNA is filed under the name Elaeis guineensis (African oil palm). RNAcentral describes it as "long non-coding RNA (EGUI_LNC027315)". Lineage: Eukaryota; Viridiplantae; Streptophyta; Magnoliopsida; Arecales; Arecaceae. The record is from RNAcentral.
ACCAAUCACUCUAUUCAUAUGCAAGUGGUAAAAUAUGAUAGUACACUCAUUAUUGAAUUACUUAUUUUUUAAACAUUAUUAUUGACAUUAGUAUAUCAUCUAAUUUAAUAUGACUCAAUUUUGUUGAUAUCUUUAUUAUUGCAAACUUUAUACAGCGGGCUUAGAUGCCAUUAGUGAUGAUGGUUUGAAUGCUUCUUUG